GUAACAAGGUUUCCGUAGGUGAACCUGCGGAAGGAUCAUUAACGCGCAGGCCGGAGGCUGGCCCCCCACGAUAGGGCCAAACGUCCGUCAGGGGUGAGCAGAUGUGCGCCGGCCGUACCGCCCCAUUCUUGUCUACCUUACUCGGUUGCCUCGGCGGGCCGCGCUCUCCCAGGAGAGCCGUUCGGCGAGCCUCUCUUUAGUGGCUAAACGCUGGACCGCGCCCGCCGGAGGACAGACGCAAAAAAACUCUUUCAGAAGAGCUGUCAGUCUGAGCGUUAGCAAGCAAAAAUCAGUUAAAACUUUCAACAACGGAUCUCUUGGUUCCGGCAUCGAUGAAGAACGCAGCGAAAUGCGAUAAGUAAUGUGAAUUGCAGAAUUCCGUGAAUCAUCGAAUCUUUGAACGCACAUUGCGCCCCCUGGCAUUCCGGGGGGCAUGCCUGUUCGAGCGUCAUUUCAGCCCCUCAAGCCCGGCUUGUGUGAUGGACGACCGUCCGGCGCCCCCGUCUUUGGGGGUGCGGGACGCGCCCGAAAAGCAGUGGCCAGGCCGCGAUUCCGGCUUCCUAGGCGAAUGGGCAACAAACCAGCGCCUCCAGGACCGGCCGCCCUGGCCUCAAAAUCUGUUUUAUACUUAUCAGGUUGACCUCGGAUCAGGUAGGGAUACCCGCUGAACUUAAGCAUAUCA
Molecule: unclassified non-coding RNA, 682 nt
Filed under: Trichophyton mentagrophytes
Lineage: Eukaryota; Fungi; Ascomycota; Eurotiomycetes; Onygenales; Arthrodermataceae
Description: sequence contains 18S rRNA gene, ITS1, 5.8S rRNA gene, ITS2, 28S rRNA gene
Rfam family: 5.8S ribosomal RNA (bases 298-451)
Source: RNAcentral